GGAUCUGUUUCAGAAAACGUUAUCAGCUCAUUUACGAAACUUCUGUUCAUACAAACCUUUCCAACAGCUUGGUUUCUUGUUUGUGAGACGCUUCUAAAACCUGAGAAAUGAAACUUUCCACGAUUCAAUUUAUGUUUUGCUUGACUUUCGUCAUCCUAUCUUGCAACUACGUUACUGGCUAUCCUCCUGCCCAAGGUCAUGAUUCUUGGACCACCAAUGAUGGAAGUUUUGAAGAUUUUAUGUUUUACCCAAACAGCCUAAGAUUGAACCAACCAAUAAAAAGAACAGGAGCCGUAGGGGUUGAUCUUCCGGACUACAUCUUCCACUACAAAGAGGGUUUCCCCAACUUGGCUUUUCUGAAACAACGGAUGCUAAAGAGCGGAAGAUAAACGAUGACUAAUCAAUAUUAUGACGUCCUCUUCGAAACGAUAAUCGAAUCUAAGGUCACCUAGCUGUAAUGUUUUGUUUUGUUCUGAAGUAAACAAGUUUCGUUCUUAAUGCUUGUAUCUCGUAAAACUUCAUUUUUCACAAUGAUCUACUACUGCUAGCUUUCCUAAAUGAUUUGGUAAACUCACCUGCAAGGUAUUGUUUUCAUUCUUAUUAAUAAAUAAAGAAUAACAUUUAUAUACAUGCACCCA
Molecule: long non-coding RNA, 638 nt
Organism: Limulus polyphemus (Atlantic horseshoe crab)
Lineage: Eukaryota; Metazoa; Arthropoda; Merostomata; Xiphosura; Limulidae
Exons: 3
Source: RefSeq, a predicted model, not a curated record